AUGCUCGGCCAUUUACUUCUCAGCUCUAACAGUAAACGGACGUUUUUAAUUUACAAAGCUGUUUAAUUUAUUAAAACAUGCUUUUGCAACUAGAUUUUUAUUUUAUAAUGAUUAUUUACUGGACGCUUGAUCUACCUUCUAGAUAAAAAAACCACGUGGGCCGGAUGGACCAAAAAAUGGAACCCAAAUUUUAAAUGAGCGAUGAAGCUCCAAGAUGACUAUCCUAGAAGCCAAUGCUCUAGAUAUGAAGCCCACCAUGUGUUUGGUGAAUAAAAGCUACUGAAUGAUGACAAAGCAGUACCUCUUAUUUAAUGAUAGAGCGGUUUAGUCAACGACUGCUGAAUUACAUCAUCACGUCAUAUAUUUUUUAAAUAUAUAAUCAUUUCAUGUAAAAUUUUUAAAUAUAUUUUUUAUUUAUAAACAAA
Molecule: long non-coding RNA, 425 nt
Organism: Microplitis demolitor
Lineage: Eukaryota; Metazoa; Arthropoda; Insecta; Hymenoptera; Braconidae
Exons: 5
Source: RefSeq, a predicted model, not a curated record